AACGAACGCUGGCGGCAUGCCUAACACAUGCAAGUCGAACGAGACCUUCGGGUAUAGUGGCGCACGGGUGCGUAACGCGUGGGAACCUGCCCUUAGGUUCGGAAUAACUCCCCGAAAGGGGUGCUAAUACCGGAUAAUGUCUUCGGACCAAAGAUUUAUCGCCUUUGGAUGGGCCCGCGUUGGAUUAGCUAGUUGGUAGGGUAAAAGCCUACCAAGGCGACGAUCCAUAGCUGGUCUGAGAGGAUGAGCAGCCACACUGGGACUGAGACACGGCCCAGAAUUCUACGGGAGGCAGCAGUGGGGAAUAUUGGACAAUGGGCGAAAGCCUGAUCCAGCAAUGCCGCGUGAGUGAUGAAGGCCUUAGGGUUGUAAAGCUCUUUUACCCGGGAUGAUAAUGACAGUACCGGGAGAAUAAGCUCCGGCUAACUCCGUG
Molecule: ribosomal RNA, 433 nt
Filed under: uncultured bacterium
Lineage: Bacteria
Description: partial 16S ribosomal RNA
Rfam family: Bacterial small subunit ribosomal RNA
Source: RNAcentral